AACGUAAGGGGCGAGCGUUGUCCGGAAUUACUGGGCGUAAAGAGCACGUAGGCGGCGGAGCAAGCGGCAGGUGAAAUCCUCCGGCUCAACCGGAGAACUGCUUGCCGAACUGUUCGGCUGGAGCACGGGAGAGGGCAGUGGAAUUCCUGGUGUAGCGGUGGAAUGCGUAUAUAUCAGGAGGAACACCGGUGGCGAAGGCUGCUGCCUGGAACGUUGCUGACGCUGAGGUGCGAAAGCUAGGGGAGCAAACAGGAUUAGAUACCCCCGUA
This 269-nucleotide ribosomal RNA is filed under the name uncultured prokaryote. RNAcentral describes it as "partial 16S ribosomal RNA". It matches the Rfam family "Bacterial small subunit ribosomal RNA", at positions 524 to 792 of the family's 1533-position model. The record is from RNAcentral.